RNAcentral lists this unclassified non-coding RNA (392 nucleotides) under soil metagenome. Its description in RNAcentral is "partial contains 5.8S ribosomal RNA, internal transcribed spacer 2, and large subunit ribosomal RNA". The stretch from base 1 to 122 matches the Rfam family "5.8S ribosomal RNA", at positions 35 to 154 of the family's 154-position model. The record is from RNAcentral.
GAUGAAGAACGCAGCGAAAUGCGAUACUUGGUGUGAAUUGCAGAAUCCCGUGAACCAUCGAGUCUUUGAACGCAAGUUGCGCCCGAAGCCACUAGGCCGAGGGCACGCCUGCCUGGGCGUCACACGUCGUUGCCCCCCCCCCAUCUACUCCUUCGGGAUUGCGGGGGGCGGAUGAUGGCCUCCCGUGCGCCUAGCCGCGCGGUUGGCAUAAAUACCAAGUCCUCGGCGACGCACGCCACGCCUAUCGGUGGUUGCGAAACCUCGGUUGCCCGUCGUGUGCGUUCGUCGCGCAUCGAGGGCUCGAAAAAAUGCUCGGCUCCGGCUCGGCUUUCAACGCGACCCCAGGUCAGGCGGGGUUACCCGCUGAAUUUAAGCAUAUCAUAAGCGGAGGA